AUCAACUUUCGAUGGUAGGAUAGAGACCUACCAUGGUGGUAACGGAUAACGGGGUGUUAGGGCACGACACCGGAGAGGGAGCCUGAGAAACGGCUACCACAUCCAAGGACGGCAGCAGGCGCGCAAAUUACCCAAUCCCGACACGGGGAGGUAGUGACAAUAAAUAACAAUACGGGGCUCUUUCGGGUCUCGUAAUUGGAAUGAGUACAAUUUAAAUCCCUUAACGAGGAACAAUUGGAGGGCAAGUCUGGUGCCAGCAGCCGCGGUAAUUCCAGCUCCAAUAGCGUAUAUUAAAGUUGUUGCAGUUAAAAAGCUCGUAGUUGAAUUUCGGGAUUGGCGCAUCGGUCGUGCCUCACGGGGUAUGAACUGGUGCAGUCAAUUUCUCACCUUCUGGAGAACCGCGAUGUCCUUAAUUGGAUGCCGCGGGGAACCAGGACCUUUACUUUGAAAAAAUUAGAGUGUUUAAAGCAGGCAUUUUUGCUUGAAUACAUUAGCAUGGAAUAAUAAAAUAGGACGGCAUGGUUCUAUUUUGUUGGUUUCUAGGACCACCGUAAUGAUUAAUAGGGAUAGUUGGGGGCAUUAGUAUUCAAUUGUCAGAGGUGAAAUUCUUGGAUUUAUUGAAGACUAACUACUGCGAAAGCAUUUGCCAAGGAUGUUUUCAUUAAUCAAGAACGAAAGUUAGGGGAUCGAAGACGAUCAGAUACCGUCGUAGUCUUAACCAUAAACUAUGCCGACUAGGAAUCAGACGAUGUUAAUUUUUUAAUGACUCGUUUGGCACCUUACGGGAAACCAAAGUGUUUGGGUUC
Molecule: ribosomal RNA, 806 nt
Filed under: uncultured Glomus
Lineage: Eukaryota; Fungi; Glomeromycota; Glomeromycetes; Glomerales; Glomeraceae
Description: SSU rRNA
Rfam family: Eukaryotic small subunit ribosomal RNA
Source: RNAcentral